Molecule: ribosomal RNA, 253 nt
Filed under: uncultured bacterium
Lineage: Bacteria
Description: partial 16S ribosomal RNA
Rfam family: Bacterial small subunit ribosomal RNA
Source: RNAcentral
CACGUAGGGCGCAAGCGUUGUCCGGAAUUAUUGGGCGUAAAGAGCUCGUAGGCGGUCUGUUGCGUCUGCUGUGAAAACUCGGGGCUUAACCCCGAGCCUGCAGUGGAUACGGGCAGACUAGAGGUAGGUAGGGGAGAAUGGAAUUCCCGGUGUAGCGGUGAAAUGCGCAGAUAUCGGGAAGAACACCCGUGGCGAAGGCGGCUCUCUGGGACGGUACUGACGCUGAGACGCGAAAGCGUGGGGAGCGAACAGG